Molecule: long non-coding RNA, 163 nt
Organism: Syngnathus acus (greater pipefish)
Lineage: Eukaryota; Metazoa; Chordata; Actinopteri; Syngnathiformes; Syngnathidae
Exons: 2
Source: RefSeq, a predicted model, not a curated record
GUAAAUAUGUUUUUAGAACUUUUAUUAUUAUAACAACUUUUUAUAGCAAGGUACAAGUGUACGUACUGUAAUUGUGUGGACACUCCUUGCCUUCAGCUGGUGUGUGGGCAACUUUCGUGCCAUAAUUCCUCAAUUUAGAAGGUUUAUUUAGAAUUUCUGAAUU